ACCUGGGUGGCUCAGUGGGUUAAAGCAUCUGACUUCAACUCAGGUCAUGAUCUCAUGGUUUGUGAGUUCGAGCCUCAUGUUGGGCU
This 86-nucleotide transfer RNA is filed under the name Felis catus (domestic cat). It matches the Rfam family "tRNA". Rfam says of the family: Transfer RNA (tRNA) molecules are approximately 80 nucleotides in length. Their secondary structure includes four short double-helical elements and three loops (D, anti-codon, and T loops). Further hydrogen bonds mediate the characteristic L-shaped molecular structure. tRNAs have two regions of fundamental functional importance: the anti-codon, which is responsible for specific mRNA codon recognition, and the 3' end, to which the tRNAs corresponding amino acid is attached (by aminoacyl-tRNA synthetases). tRNAs cope with the degeneracy of the genetic code in two manners: having more than one tRNA (with a specific anti-codon) for a particular amino acid; and 'wobble' base-pairing, i.e. permitting non-standard base-pairing at the 3rd anti-codon position. RNAcentral also lists the same sequence under 3 other names. The record is from Rfam by way of RNAcentral. Lineage: Eukaryota; Metazoa; Chordata; Mammalia; Carnivora; Felidae.